UACGUAGGGUGCGAGCGUUGUCCGGAAUUAUUGGGCGUAAAGAGCUCGUAGGCGGUUUGUCACGUCUGCUGUGAAAUCCCGAGGCUCAACCUCGGGCCUGCAGUGGGUACGGGCAGACUGGAGUGCGGUAGGGGAGAAUGGAAUUCCUGGUGUAGCGGUGGAAUGCGCAGAUAUCAGGAGGAACACCGAUGGCGAAGGCAGUUCUCUGGGCCGUAACUGACGCUGAGGUGCGAGAGCGUGGGGAGCGAACCGG
This 253-nucleotide ribosomal RNA is filed under the name uncultured bacterium. RNAcentral describes it as "partial 16S ribosomal RNA". It matches the Rfam family "Bacterial small subunit ribosomal RNA", at positions 524 to 776 of the family's 1533-position model. The record is from RNAcentral.